This 124-nucleotide non-coding RNA is filed under the name Candidatus Microgenomates bacterium. RNAcentral describes it as "Microgenomates Collierbacteria GlcN6P sequence". It matches the Rfam family "glmS glucosamine-6-phosphate activated ribozyme aptamer". From Rfam's summary of the family: This entry contains a glucosamine-6-phosphate activated ribozyme that is found in the mRNA for GlmS. GlmS is an enzyme that uses fructose-6-phosphate and glutamine to generate glucosamine-6-phosphate. The record is from RNAcentral. Lineage: Bacteria; Candidatus Microgenomatota.
AUAAUUUAAAUAGCGUGUGGCCUCAUUAAUAUGAGGAUACGAGGAAGAAGGUUGUCGAUAAUCUGCGGAUGCCUUCUGGUUACGCCUUUCUAACCAAAAGGGUAUAACAAUACCCAAGAUCGGU